UUGGUGAGGUAAGGGCUCACCAAGGCAACGAUCAGUAGCCGGCCUGAGAGGGUGAACGGCCACACUGGAACUGAGACACGGUCCAGACUCCUACGGGAGGCAGCAGUGGGGAAUAUUGCACAAUGGAGGGAACUCUGAUGCAGCGACGCCGCGUGAGUGAAGAAGGUCUUCGGAUCGUAAAACUCUGUCCUUGGUGAAGAAAAGGACGGUAGCCAAGGAGGAAGCCCCGGCUAACUACGUGCCAGCAGCCGCGGUAAUACGUAGGGGGCGAGCGUUGUCCGGAUUUACUGGGCGUAAAGGGUGAGUAGGCGGUUAUAUAUGUCAGGUGUAAAAGGCUAUGGCUUAACCAUGGUUAGCACUUGAAACUGUAUGACUUGAGUGCAGGAGAGGUAAGCGGAAUUCCUAGUGUAGCGGUGAAAUGCGUAGAUAUUAGGAGGAACACCAGUGGCGAAGGCGGCUUACUGGACUGUAACUGACGCUGAGUCACGAAAGCGUGGGUAGCAAACAGGAUUAGAUACCCUGGUAGUCCACGCUGUAAACGAUGAGUGCUAGGUGUUGGCCAGCGAUGGUCAGU
RNAcentral lists this ribosomal RNA (574 nucleotides) under uncultured bacterium. Its description in RNAcentral is "bacterial SSU rRNA". It matches the Rfam family "Bacterial small subunit ribosomal RNA", at positions 249 to 844 of the family's 1533-position model. The record is from RNAcentral.